AGCAGGUUUCGGGGGACAGAUGAGGAGCUCAGCUUCCACAUACUUAAGAUGCCUAUUAGUUACCGGCAUGUUUUUGCGUCCUAAAGUAAUGCAUCUAAGACGGCAAUUUUCUUUAAUCUAUAUAUGGAAAUAAUGAAAUACCAUACAUUUCUCCCCCCCCCACCCCCGAAAUGGAAACACAAGAUUGCCCUUUUCUGUAAAAUUCUAUGCCUGGCCAUUUCCUGUGCGGGUGCACUAGGAUUCCAUGUUUCUUAGAGGAGACGUCAGCCCGGAUCCCGUUUUAGAACCAGUAGAAUUGUGCACCGCUGAUGUUUGCUUCACUGUAUAAGGUAUUUAUUUACUUUUUUUUUAAGUUUAUUUAUUUUGAGAGAGAAGGUGUGAGCAGGGGAGGGGCAGAGAGAGAGGGAGAAAGAAAGAAUCCCCAGCAGGCUCCGAGCUGUCAUCGUGACCUGAGCCGAAAUCAAGACUCGGAUGCUUGAGGCACCCCUAAGAAACUUAUUUUUAUAGUAAGCCUGUUGGGGAAAAAAACAGGUAACUUACUCUAUUUCCAUACCUGAGUAAAAUGAUGCUAAGUACAAUUUAUCCAAUGACUGAGGUCUUGGGUCACCACUUAGAAUAAGCAGCUGCCCGCUGGGCACGCUGAGGGCCUCCUAUGUGCUGGUAGCUCUCCUCACUGUCACCGCGACAGGUAUGUGAGGUCCCUUGGGUGAGUUGGAGUUUUUGCCAUGGUGUUCGCUCAUUCUAUCCUUCCCGCUUUUUUUCCUUGUGUCCACCCCCCCCCCACACGCACAUACACACAGAUGAUAUUUUUAGCACACUUGCUUUCCAUUUCUGUUCUGACUGUUGAAAUACCUUUUUCUUUUCCUUUCUCUUCCCCUUGCCUUCCCGGCGAGUUCCAAUGAGCUGAGGUUGCCAUAUGUGAUUCUUAGAUAAGUGGGCUGUUACUAGUUUUGCAUUUUCCCUUCUGCAACUUUAACUUUUUGCCUGAGCUGCUGGGGGCCAUACUUACAGGCCAAGGGCCGGGUUGAUGCUGAAAAGCUACUAGUGGAUGACAUCUGACAAGAUACAGAUAAUCAAGAGUAUAGUCAUGACUGUGUCUAUGCAGAACUGGUCUGUAUCCUUUUCCUUGGCUAGAUAAGUUUUAUAUACUCCCCCCAAGAAUAGCAUUCUUUUUUUAAAAACAUUUUUAAAAGUUUAUUUAUUUUGAGAGAGAGAAAGUACACACAAGCUGAGGAGGGGCAUAGAGAGAGAGGGAGAGAGAGAAUCCCAAGCAGGUUCCAUGCCGUCAGCACAGAGCCCAACGCAGGGCUCGAUCCCACAAACCAUGAGAUCGUGACCUGAGCCGAGAUCAAGAGUCAGAUGCUUACCCAACUGAGCCAUCCCGGUUCCCCCACCCCCCAGGAAUAGUAUUUUUUACAGAAGAUGCCCCAAUUCGUGUUGUUGAUAACUAACACUGAGCAGAAAGAGCCAUUUCAGAGGAAGAGUUUUCGAAACUGGAAGACUGUGUAUGCCGUGAAAAUUAAUGUUAAUAAAGUCAGAUAUGUUGCUAGAUAUUCGUAUCCAGAAAAAUGGAUUUAUCACUGAAUUAACUUAAAAAAUUUUUGCCUGGUCCAAAAAUUACUUUUAAUUCUAACCACCGAAUGAUAAAUCAUAGUUCCUAGAAUGGAUGCAUUCUUCCAACAGCUGGUUUACUCGGAUUAUUCGGGAUUUUUGCUGGAAUCCAAGUGGUCUUUCAAGAGAACCGAUGAUUUUCUGAUGAAGCUGUUCACACGCUUUUGAAGCCAGGAGAAGGGGUGAGUAUUAAUUUGCAUUCUCUUCGGCUAUAGAAUUCUCUCUCAGGCCAGCAGUGUUUGAUGAAGUCUGAAUUCCCAUUUCAGUUGUAUAGACAACAAGACUGUAUGAAGGUAUGAAAUUGUCUUGGUAAGACGAAGUAAAAUUGGGCCACCACACAAGCAAACAUGGACAUCACCUGUAUCUGGAGUCUCAAAGUCAUGAAAUACGCAGUGUUUGAAAGGAUACGAGAAAUACAUUGAUUUGAUUUGAUUUUUUUCUUUUUGGCCAUCCUUCGUGUUACAAAACAGUUGAAGCUUAGUAUCAUUUCAAGCACGGAGUGUAAAGUGAUCGGUGAGGCUGGAUGGAGGAAAGGCAAAAGAAAUGAAUUUGAAGGACAAAAAAAAACAAAAACAAAAACAAAAAACCACAUAUCCUUCGAAGACCUCCCUGUCUCGAGGACAGAAAAUGCCUUGGCAGUCGCGAUUUUUGUGCAGUCAGAAGGGAGCUGAUUUCCCAGCUGUUCUGGUGUAUUUUCCUUAUUAGUCUUUGCUCCCACGGUCUAAGAGCAAAUACCGGAUCUAAGCGCCUACAGUACUGGUCAAGGACUGCAGCUUCCCUCGUGUGUGACUCACAGGCGCGAGCAAACCACCUACUGUAACAGCUGGCCCCAGACCCUGGCCCGGCCACAGCACAGCAGCUGCUUUGCUGGACCCCUGCUUGCUUGGCUAUUAACUGUCUUAACUGUUGCUCUUACCUUUAUGGGCUGUGGUAAAGGCAGGCUUUAUUUAUUUAUGUUUGUUUGUUUUUGAGAGAGAGUGUGCGUGCGCGAACAUGUGAGGGAGGGACAGAGAGAGAGGGAGACACAGAGUCCAAAGCAGGCUCCAGACUCCGAGCUGUCAGCACAGAGCCCGACAUGGGGCUCAAAGUCACAAACCGUGAGAUCAUGACCUGAGCCAAAGUCGGACGCUUAACCAACUGAGCCACCCAGGUGCGCCAAAGGUGGGCUUUAGAUACAUAGACCCUUGGGUCCAUUUUUCCCCAAUUGUAUUUCUCGGUUCUUACUAAAAGAUCUCAGCGGUCACCUGGAAGCGUAAUUUCGAUUUAGGAUGCUAGAAGGCCGCUCAUCAUUUACAACGGCCCUUCAUGUGCUUUUCUGCAUGCGUGAUUACUUUCUUGAUGAACAAAGGUUAUGCUUAGUUUCAGGCUUGGUUAUUAUUUGUUACUAUUACGAUCAGUAUGAGGUGAACCACCUUUAUAAGAACUUGUUUCCUUUUUUUUAAUGUUUAUUUUUGAGAGAGAGACAGAGGGCAGGCGGGGAGGGGCAGAGAGAGAAGGAGACACAGAAUCCGAAAGAGGCACCACGCUCCGAGCUGUCAGCGCAGAUCCUGACGGGGGGCUGGAACUUACAAACUGUGAGAUCGUGACCUGGGCCGAAGUCGGACGCUUAACCGACUGCGCCACCCAGGUGCCCCUUAAGAACUAGUUUCUUAAAACGGGAUGGCAUCUUGCUGCGUUUCUUUGACUCUCCACCAUACCUCUCCUCUGCCCAGAGGACCAUUCUCAAGGCUUCACUAGAGAAAGGGAGAGCACAGCACCUGGCCUCAGAAAGCCCCCAAACCAGUUGUGGCUACAGAUUAACAUGUGAGAAUCAAAGAUUCCCAAAGGAAGGCAAAUCAGAUGCAGUUUCAGAGAAAGGAGAGAUUUUUUUUUGCGGGGCAGGUCAGUCUGUGCCCCAGUGCUUGUGUCUUGCAGCCUUGUGUUUUACUGGGUAUUAGUAUUGUUUCGCAAAAGUUGUUCUGGAGUCACACGCCAUGCUAUUUUCAUCUUUCGAUCUCCGUAUUCUAGUACAUUCCAGCCCCUGCACGGGACACGACACUUUACACAUAACACGUGCCAGGUAAACAUUUGCUGACAUAAUUGAAUGGGAGAAGGCUUUGUGGAAAAGGCAGAGCUUGGGCCCGGCUUUAGAUAGAGAGGGGAGGUUGGCCAGUGACAUACUCUGCCUGUAUAUGAGUCAUUCGUUCUGGGCCUUGAGGAAGAACUUGCAAAGUCAAAACAGAGCGGAGACACAUGCCAGGUUGAAAGAGUAACUACGGCAGAGCAGAGGGUUAGUGUAUGAAAUAUGGGGUCAAGGAGGAGGCCUGGCAAGACGUUCUGGAGAAUAACUGGGACGGUAGGGUAGCCAGAUACAACAUCAGGGCCCCUUGGAGGUGCUGUGGGUGGAUGGACACCAAAGUAAUAGUCUUUCUCUCCCUAUCUCAUGCUGAGGACACACUUUUCAUUUGUACCUUAGCGCAUUUAUUGUAGUCUUCAGGUGUGGGCAGGACCUGUCAACGUGAUGUCAUAUUUCCCUUCUUUACAUGCGAAUGUUUUAUUUGUUAAUCAGUUUGUUCUGGAAUUGGUUUGUUUUCAGGAAAGAGGUGGAAUGCAUUUUGAAACACCAUUUGAAAAUUGGAUUGAGAACAUUAAAGUUUCUUUUUUUCUUCUUUUCUGUUUUUCCUGGGACCCUGGAUGACUUUAUAGAGAUGCCAUGGGUGAAGAAAAGGAAUUCUUGAAAACUAGAAAGCUACCUAGCUUGGGGCAAAGCAGGAAAAAAACAGCAGGUUUGGGGACAUGAGUGUUUCUGCACUGGCAGUAUUGUGGGCCAUCGAAGAAGAGACAGAAAUUGCCAUUUGAAAUCAGGGCUCAAGUGUGAGAGAAGUCAGGGCUGGAAAGAGAUUUAACAGUGGAAGUGGUAGUUAGAAAUGGGGGACAGUGCCUGGGGAGAGCAGGUGGAAUGGAGUUCUUUUUUUUUUUAAUUUUUUUUAAGUUUUACUUUUGAGAGAGAGAAAGAGAGAGACAGAGUGUGAGUGGGGGAGGAGCAGAGAGAGGGAGACACAGAAUCCAAAGCAGACUCCAGGCUCCGAGCUGUCAGCACAGAGCCUGACGUGGGGCUCGAACUCACAAACCCCGAACCGCAAGAUCAUUACCUGAGCCAAAGUCGGACGCUUAACCGACUGAGCCACCCACGCACCCCUGGAAUGGGGUCCUUAACUGGGAUCCAGAGUGGCUCUGGUGAUUGAAGGUCAGGGCUCUAUAGCCACCGGAAGUUAUGAGCAAUAUUUUCUUUGAGUUUCCACUUGGCAUGUUGGGAUGGAGUGUGUUUGUAAGUUUGGUCAGGUUCUUAGAGGUAUCCAAAGGUUAAGAAAUCGCUGAUGUAGAAUGGGAAGAGGAGAGCAAGAAGGUCAGAACUCUGAGGGGAAAUCAACAUUUAAGGAGUUCUCAGAGAAGAGCCAUGGAAAAAGGCCAAAGAGAUUGGGAAGGCAGAAAUCUAUCUGGGAAGUCAGGCGGAUGCGGAAGGCAAUGGAAUGCGGGGGCGCAGGGCAACAAGGUUAAAUGGUAUCUUAAGGUCGGGUAGGGCUAAAAGAAUGUGUUCGAUUGACCAUUAGGAAGUCAUUGGUGACUUUCAGGAGAGCAGUGUAAAUGGAGGCACAUUGUGAUAAGUGGAGGAUGGGACUCAGGGAGCCGGGAAGUUAAGUCCAGCUUUCUCUUUCUGGAAGGUUAACAUUUGACAAGAGUGAAUAUUUACUGAGUUCCUGAGAAGGGCUGGAACUUGGCCAUUCACUGCAGACACAAAUGUGAGCAAGGUAACAUAGGCUUUGCUCUCACGGAUCUUAGGGUCUCGUGGGAGAGAUAGGCAUUAAUCAAAUAAUGACACAGAGUAAGCAUGUCAUCACAAACUGGGAAGAAAUGUGGUGCCCGGCACUGAAGCAUGACCCAAUGUGGGGUCAAAGAAGGACCCCUGAAGAAGUGAGCUUUGUGCUCAGACCUGAAGGGUGAAUAGGAGUGAGAUAGUGAAGAGAACGGGGGCAGAGAGCAGAACAUCCUAGGCAAUGAGGGAAGCAAGAAUGAAGUGUACAGAGAGCGAGGGAAGCCCAGCGACAGGAGUACAUGCUGGGUCUUUUAAACGAGCAUAAAGAUCUGCGUCUAAGAACAUUCAGGAAACUGCUAAUCUGUGGAUGGUUGCGCACGGUUUUGCAUUUCAAAACCAAAUGGGAGAGUCCAGGUGAGGAACAAUGGUACCGCCUUGAAUCAGCAUCCUGGCAAAGAAGAUGGGGAGGAGCAGAGGGUUUCAGGAAUCAUGCAGGAGCUGAAAUAGGUAGGAGAGAGAGCGCUACCUUCUCUCUUAAAGAGUGCUUUAGGAGGUCCUGCGAAAAGUAAAGUUCUCCUUCAGGUGCUGAAUACCGAAGCUCAUUUGUAGGCAAAGGGAAAGAGCAGUGGAGAGAGCGAGCUUGAAGACAUACAAACCCGGAGGGGACACACGGCUACUAGAAUCGGAAACACUGUUCUCCAAAUCGCGAAGACGGGGCUGGUGAAUAUACAGGUGUGGUUACAGGUAGAAAGGAGGCAAACUGAGACAUGAAGACGUGGUUCAUGAAGGGGGGCUCGUGUCUGCUUUGGGGUGACGCUGUGACCCCCCGCCCCCAAAUAAUAGGCUAGCAUCAGGCUCUGGAGGAUGAACAGCAAGAAACUCUAAGACAGUUCAUGGAAGGGACACAUUUACCAUUUGUGUACGUGCACAAACACUGCCUGACCCUCAGAGUACCUCUUGGAGCCCACGUUUCAGUUUUAUGAUUAAAAACAGGCAGGGAGCUUUAAAUGUGCAAAUGUCCAACAGCUGUCUCGAGCUGUGUUCAGAAAUCUCCUUUUCCCCCAAAUCCAUGAGGUGGUUUGCCCAACAUUGGGUGGUGGGUGUCGUACAAUAAGGAAAAGCACAAAUCUCAGACACUCGAGUUGUUACUCAGGAGAACCGGAUCAUUGUCUUACAGACAAGGCACCCACACAAGUCUGAAUUUCCAAUGACAUGUUAACUUGCAUUUCAUGCUAACAAUUAAGUCCUCCCAUAGGGACACCAGUGAGGUCAAUCAAUCUUUAAAACUCAACACUGAUUUUGGGGCACCUGGGUGGUUCAGUCGGUUAAGUGUUGACUUCGACUCAGGUCAUAAUCUCAUGGUUUGUGAGUUCGAGCCCCGCUUCGGGCUCUGCGCUGACAGCUCAGAGCCUGCUUGGGAUUCUCUCUCUCUCCUUCUCUCUCUCUCUGCCCCUCCCCUGCUUGUUCUCUUUCUCUAAAUAAAUAAAUAAACUUAAAAAAAAUCAACACUGAUUUUAAGUUUAGUAAGAAAGAUGCAGUGAGAAAUCAUAUGUCAGAUCUCUCAAGUCGAAUGUGUCUAUUUAAUGUCCUAGCUCAGAAAAAGAGAUCGGGUUUUUAGUUGACCUUUAAAAAAAUGAUCUGAGGGAUUCAUGUUCAUCCCUCCCCCUUUCUGAUACAGUUGUGGGAAACUUGGACUCUUUCAACACGUCAGAUCCAACUGCAGAAUCUCCGAGUGAAUCUACGUGUUUGUGAUGACUCAUGCUGCAGGGGUAUGGCUUUGUCACAAAAUGGCUUUUCUCUCUUCGAGAAAAAUGUGUAUCCUCUGAGCGUGGUAGGAACGCGCCAUGUUGAAUUAGAAAUGAGCAGUGCGGUACCGGCUGGAGGAAUAGCUCUGCUUGGCAAUCUUGAAAUAAAUGCAGCUGGGAUAAUUUUCGAUUCAACCCUUGGCAAACCUUCAGUGUGUACAAGAAAAAAAAAGCUGUGGAGGAGGCUUAAAUGCUGUAGGCGCUCAGCAGCCAUCACUCUAUCUCUCGAAGUUUCCAGUAAACGGUAGGUCAGCUCUGCAUCCUGCUGAGGUCUGGUGAGCACUCUGGGAAGAAAUGAUUCUUAUUAAGUGAGUUCAUACGUCUAAUUGCUGAGCACAGGGCCUGGCACAUUGAAGUGCUUAAUGAAUAUUAGCUUUUAUUUUUAAAAAGUAUUAUUAUUUAGGAUUAUUAACUUCCUAGGGCUCAAUGUGUACCCUGAAGGGUCACGAUUAUGGACCCAAUUUCCUCCUCUACCCGUGUGGUCUCUCAGUUCUAGACUGACAUACCCAGGUUUUAUACCCCAUGCCUUCAAAGGAGACCAUGUACUGCUGGGAAAGUGGCUUUCAGUUCCAUAGCAGCUCUGAAACUGAUUUCUGUAUUACAAGGUUUCAGGUGAUCACGGUUCACUGGUAGAAUCAGGGAAGUUCAGCAGCCGACAGAAUCUCCCCCUUCUGGGCCGAUUCCUUUCUGAGUUCCCAGGAGAGCUAGGUUUUGGAAUUUUCCCUAAAUGUCUAUCCUCCUAGGGCUGAAUCGAACCUUUGGCGUUUCCUGUUCUACACUGGGAACCGGGAGCUUUCUGAAUUAUCUCAUAGGACAUUUCCUGAUCUGUGAAUCUUUUAGAGCCUGAAGAUCAUGUUUUUCCCCUCAUCAUCUCCUGACUCUCAGUCUCCAAGGAACAUGUGCGUAUUUCAUUACAACUCCACCGUUUCCCGCGUUCGGUGAUAAAUAUGUGAGCUACAAGAGUGUACAUUCAUAACACAACACCAAAGGUUGGCAGUACAGAUUUAUGGCUCAUUACAUCAUUUUAGUGUGGGGCUGAUUCACCCAAUCAGUUUAUUUAGCAAUAAGAGAAUAUUAAAGAAGGCAACUGUACCAACCUACACCAGCCCCUGUCUCGGCUGGGUCCAUUACUUCUGCCCUCUCCUAUCAGUGGCUUGAUAAGGUCGAUCUGCGCUCGCAGAGAUAGGCCUUGUCAGGGAGGCAGAGCGGGAGCUUCCCAACAGGCCCUGACUGUACUCAGGGACUUCAAGAGGCAGAGGACGCUGUGAAUCUAAAAACAUAGCAUUCCUCUCAUAAGGAUUACAUUUUCACUUUUGAGGUUUUGAGUGUUCCUCUCUCUUUUUUAUUUUUAAUUUUUUUAAAUGUUUAUUUAUUUUUGAGAGAGAGGGAGAAAGAGUGUGAGUGGGAGAAGGGCAGAGAGAGAGAGGGAGACACAGCAUCCGAAGCAAGCUCCAGGCCCUGAGCUGUCAGCACAGAGCCUGAUUCGGGCCUCGAACCCAUGAACCGUUGAGAUCGUGACCUGAGCCUAAGUCAGACGUUAAACCAGCUGAGCCGCCAGGUGCCCCUCGAGUGUUCUUCUCUUGCUAUUGUUUACUCCAUCCUUUGUUGUUCAGAUAAGCUCAUUCUGCCUGCUACCUCCAGAAUGAGGCUCUCUUUCCUGGGACAUCCUGGUCAGCCAGUCAUUUUAUCCCACCCUGCCGGUGUCACUGGUCACAAGGCUCUUGACGUUCAAUUAGGAAUAAAUAAGUUACCACCAGAAUCAAAGUCAAGUUGAGUUUAUCAAACGUCGGGUGUUUUCGCAGGGGAGGGGAAGGAUGGUGGAAUUAGGUGGUGGGGAUGAAAAGGACACUUACCGUGAUGAGCAGUAGGUAAUGUACAGGAUUGUUGAAUCGCUAUACUGUACCCCCCAAACUGGUAUCACACUGUAUGUUAUCUGUGCUGGAAUUAAAAUUAAAAAGCUUAAUUUAAAAAAGGGAUGUUUCCAACAUUUUAUUUUUAAAAGCUUCAGCUAUACAGACAUGUUGAAAGAACUGUGCAGCGAGCACCCCUCUACCUGUCGCCCAGAGUCCACAGUUAGUAUUUUUAUUUAUUAUAUAACCAUCUAUCCACCCAUCAAUCCAUCUUAUCAUGUUAGCUUUUUGUUUUGAAGUAAUUUUAGAUUUACAGAAGAGUUGCAAGAAUAGUGCAUAGGGUUCCCAAAUACCUUUCAUCAGCUUCCCCUGAUGUUAGCAUCUUACAGAACCAUAACACAAUGAUCAAGUCAACAUUAGAAUGAUCUGACACAACACUGCCAGUAAUAUAACCUUAUUUUUAAGAACCUUUCUAACAGUGAGUUUCUAUUUUUUAUUAAAAAGAUUUUUUUUUCCAGCUGGACUUUAAAUAAAAACUUGGGAAACGAUACUGCCACACUAUUAAUGAAUCUACACAUCUUACUUGAAUUUCAUCAAAUUUCCCACUAAGGUUCUUUUCCUGGUGGAGGAUGCAAUCCAGGCUCCUGCCCUGCAUGUAGUUGUAGUAUGUUCUUUGUCUCCGGCCUAUGACAGCUCCUCUGUUUCACAUACUCGUGACCCUUUUGAUGUAUACUAGCCAUUUAUUUUUUGAAUGUCCUUCAAUUUGGGUUUGUCUGAAGUUUUCUCAUGAUUACACCAAGACUGCAUUUUUUUUACAAGAAUACCACAGAAAUGAGAUUAUGCCUUUCUCUGUUCAUCACAUGGUGGGGGGUGGGCAUCAUAUCACCCCGUAAAAUUGCUACUGAUGUAUCUUUUAUCAAUUGGUUAAGGAGUUGUCUGCCGGGCUUUUCCACUGUAAAUUUAUUAUUUUUCAGUUUGUAAAAAAUAAGUGUUUUGGAGGAGAUCCUUUGAGACCAUGCAAAUAUCUGGCUUCUCCUUAAAUCUCGCCUACUAAUUUUAGCAGGCAUUGGGGGGUUUUGCCUGGAGCAGUUGUUUCUGUGGCUCUCUAAUGGUGCUUUCCCAUGACCCCCAUUCUUUCUACAUUGAUUAGCUAGGGUUCUACCUUAAGGAAGAGGUGUCCCCUCUUCCCCAUUUAUUUAUCUGUUCAAUUAUUUAUUUAUGUCAAGACGGAGUCAGGGAUCUUUCUUUCCUUCUUUGGGUUCCAAUCCAGUAUUAUCAUAAUUUAUUUUGUUGCUCUGUCUGUUGGAUCAUUGGAAACUCCCUUCAGAUCAGCUCGUGCAUCCUUUUGACCUGCCCUGGCAUUUCCUGAGCACUUCUUUACUUUCUGGCAACACAAGAUGUUGCAGACUUAUUUUGUAUUUUCCCUAUUUUCUCUAAGGAGCUCUGGGUUCUUUUUAUGAGAGAUUGGUGUUUAGAAACCAAGAUCUGGGCAUUAAGUGUGCUUACUGCUGUGGGAGUACCAUUGUCUUCCCAGUGGAUGGAGCUAGAAAGUGUAUGUGUGUUAUUGAUAUGUAACAUCUAUAUUUCUGUAUUUAUCCAUCUGUGUGUGUGAGUAGAUAUGUGCGCAUAUAUAUUUACAUAUACAUAUUCCUCUAAAUAUUAAAUCAUGAGCUCAUGCAGAUGCCCUUGAGUCCAACUGAACACCAUGGUUUUAUUCAGGACUUCCCCUUUUCUUUUUUUUUUUUUUUUUUUUUUUUUUUUUUUUUUUUUAAUUUUUUUUUUUCCACAUUUAUUUAUUUUUGGGACAGAGAGAGACAGAGCAUGAACGGGGGAGGGGCAGAGAGAGAGGGAGACACAGAAUCGGAAACAGGCUCCAGGCUCCGAGCCAUCAGCCCGGAGCCUGACGCGGGGCUCGAACUCACGGACCGCGAGAUCGUGACCUGGCUGAAGUCGGACGCUUAACCGACUGCGCCACCCAGGCGCCCCAUGGACUUCCCCUUUUCUUAAUUGCCAGCUUCUAGCUCUGCAGGGGAAAACCUGGCUGUCUUAUCCAUAGUAUAUUUACUUAUUUGUCCAAUCCUUGUACACACAUAAAGUAGUUUCAGAGUUGCUAAUCCAUACCUCCUUGGAGGGACGAAUUUACUAAUUAGAGUCCAAUAUUAGUACAUGAUUCUUUUUGUCCUUAGCAUUAUAGUUUGUGGCCAAAAGUUGCUUAGAUUAGUUCCUUUCUUCCCCACCCUCUUCAGGGUGGUUGAGUUAUUGGUUUGUAAUAAUACAGUUAGGUUCAUUUGUUACUGCUUGUAUUCUAUUUUGGAUUCCCUCCAUAUCUUGAUUGAUUUAAAAAAUUUAUACUUUCUUGGUAUAUAUGUGGGCAAUAUGUGAAACACUGCUGUGAUUAUUUUUUUAAUAUUUUAUUAAAAUUUUAAAUGUUUAUUUAAUAUUUGAGAGUGAGCGACAGAGAGAGAGAGAUUGGCGGAGGGGCAGAGAGAGGGAGACACAGCAUCCGAAGCAGGCUCCAGGCUCUGAGCUGUCAGCACAGAGCCCGACAUGGGGCUCAAACCCACGAAUUGUGAGAUCAUGACCUGAGCCGAAGUUGGAUGCUUAACCCACUGAGCCACCUAGGUGCCCCAACACUGCCAUGAUUCUAAAGUAGGAGUAAUAAAGAAAUGUUCACCCAGAGAAGUGCUGCCCUUUCCCUAUUCUUUCCACCACAUUCUCACUCUUUGCAGGUGACUAAUCUCAUUUGUUUCUGGCUUAUCCUUCUUAUAUUUCUUUUGCACAUGUUAGCAGCUUCAUGAACACCUCUAUGUUUCCCUUUCUUUCUUCCAUGAAUCCACCUUAUUUUUGAUGCGUUUCACAGAAAGUUGCAGUUCUCAGUACAUUUUUACCCUAAACACUUUGGCAUGCCCGUUAUUAACUAGGUUUCAAUUUUGGUCUAUUUUUUUUUCACUUUUAUUUCUUUCAAGGUAAAAUUCACACGCAAUAAAACUCAAGAAUCUUAAGUGUACUGUCGAAUACGUUUUGACAAAUGCAUAUACUUGUGUAAUGCAAACCCCUAACAAAACGUAGAGCAUUCCCAUAACCUCGUAAGUUUCCUGCUCCAGCUCUGAGACAACUGGUAUUCUAAGUUUUUUCUACCAUCGUUUGGUUUGGCCUGUUCUAGGCUUCCUAAAAGCGAAUUAUACAAUGUGUACUCUUCUGCAUGAAGCUUCUUCCACUCUAGCCUGUCUUUGAAAUACAUCCAUGUUGUGUGUAUCUCUAGCUCAUUCCUUUUAUUGUGUUAGCGUUCUGCGGUGUAAACAUACCAGUGUAUGCAGGAUGAACAGUGUAGAUUUUCUGUUGAUGUGGAGUUAGCUUAUUUUCAUCUGAUGCUUCAGAUUCUUCUGGUGUUACAGUGCCGUGCUACACAUCUUUUAAAUUAUUUUAAGUAAUUCCGCUUUAUAUGUUUUGCCUUGUGCACACAUACAUGGUGCUUUCCUUUCAGAAAGCUCAGUGUUAAAACACGAUUAGAUUCUCUCUGUAGAGACAGAUAAAUGUACUUUAAGACAUUUAAUACUGAAAAAUUCAUACAACAAAAACCUAAGUCAGUGACUAUUCUAUUUGAGAGAGAGGCGUGGGGGAGGAGGGGCAGAAAGAGAGAGGGAGAGAGAGAAUCCCAAGCAGUCUCCACGCUCAACAAGGAGCCCAGUGCGCGGCUCAGUCCCAGACCCUGAGGUCAUGACCUGCGCUGAAAUAGAGUCGGAGACGCUGAACCUACUGAGCCACCCAGGUGCCCCUCAGUAACUAUUUCUUGAACAUUGAUUAUACGCAAUUACUGCGUUAGAUCUUUGGGAAUACAGGCACGAGGAAGACAGAGGGCUGUUUAUGGAUGUUUUAGGGCAUUCAAGGUACAUUCGGACGCCACCAGAGACAGGAUUUCCCGAGAAGAACCCCAAUCAUCAUCUCAGUUGUGUGCUCCAAGUCGUGUGAGCAAUGCGGUGCUCCUCCAAACAAGUAGUCCUUGUUGAGAAGCUGCGUCCUGGCUUUUGCAGCUGUCGCGUGGGCUCAGGGUGGUGGAGAGGGAUCGGCCGGAGAGGGGAAGACAGGGGAACACAACGGAGGCUAACACGAGCCCGGAGCUGUGCCGCCAAAGGGGGAUGGCAUCAGGAAGGAAGCAUUUCCGGAGCAUGUGGGGCCGGCAUUUCCGGUGCAUGCAGUACGGCCAUUUCCGGAGUAUUAGGUGCCGGCAUUUCCGGCUCACGCGGUGCCGGCUCUCACCUGUGGCGGCCGCCGCUGGCACCAAGGUGGGAGCCGGGCCCAGUGCUGACCGAGCCACCAGCCACCGCUCAGGCCUCCGAUGGCACGGCGGGGAGGAGGCAUCUGCAAAAGGCCACAGGCCCCGUCACCCCUUAGCGUGCACGAAAUGAGGCAAAAGGGUGGCUCAAUAAUUUGGCCCAGGACACACCAUGGAAGGCGCUCAGUGAAUGCUAAUUUAAUUGUCUAGGUGGGUCCAUUUAAAAUGUCUCUCUCGCUCUCUUUUUGAAAUCUUAGCAACCUGGAAGAAACUUUUUGGUAUAAAUUCAGUAACUUCUAGACUUGGAAAUGAUAAAUGCUUUUUUAUGUUUUAUUUUUUAAUAAAAACAUGAACUGGAAUGGAAUGACUUCCUUCCAAAACACUUUAAAGAAACAAAUUGUCAUGUGGAAUCUCAUUUUGCAUGAAUCAGAGUACAGUAAAUCUCAAAAUAUCCACUGAACUGCCUGUUGUGGUUUACUAAACAGGAAAAUGAUUUCAGCAGGAUGGUCUUUUCCCCUAGAUCCACAGCAGGCAGCCUUUUGUGCUGUUCUGAAAACAUCUUAAUUCUUCCCCAAGUACCAUGUUUCUUGGAAUUAUUCACCGGAAAUUAAUAGUAUUCUGAGUUUUAAAGUAAUUCAAACCACAAGUGACUUUGUAAUCAUGCUUAGCAGUAGUAUAAAGAGCCAUCGAGCAAGCAGAGGUUAUGACAGUAUUAGUCACAAUUGCACAUAGUAUCCCCCACACAAAGAUGUAUGUUUCUGUCCCGACCGUGUUCACUGGGCUGCCGAACUGGGUAGUGACAACAAACAAAUGAGUAAAAUGUGUUGGAUAAUGUCAAAUGCUACAGGGAAAAAAUUGGGCAAAGGCGGCUCUUAAACAUGCUGGGAUAGAGACAGAGAGCUGUUGAAAUUACAGAUAAGGUGGCCGGGGAAAGGCGUCACUGGGGAAACGAUAUUUGCAUAAAGACCUCAACAGUAUGUGAGUCACAUGGACAUCUGAGGAAGAACAUUCCAGGCACAGGAAGAGCAUGUGCAAAGGCCCUGAGGCAGGAGUGUGCCUGAGGAACACAAGAGCAUAGGUGGAAUGUAGUGAAUGAGGGCGAGGGCCACAUUCAUGGCCACAUCAUGAUAGGCCUCACAGUAAGGACUUUGGUUUUUACUCUGAAGGAUGGCAGAAGUGCUAGAAGGUUUUAGGGGAGAAGUGACCUGACCUGAAUUGCAUCUUAGCACCCAAAGCAGAAAGAACGGUUGAGGGGCUCUGCUGAACCCGAGACUGCAGCACAGAAGCUCUUGUGAAAAAGGGAAAGACCAUUUCCAAUGUUUACAGACAGGCCAGGUCUCUCCAGACAAGGAAGAAGAAGAACACAGAACACUUGUUCAGAUAACUGAGCAGUUGGGGAUUCAAUGUGUGAUGUUAUUUUUAGAAGAUAGCAUUUUUUUAAUACCCUGCUACUGGUUUCUUGUAUCUUUUAGAGCACACCACGAGGAGAAGAUAAGGAAGCAUGACCUUCCAAGUGCAACACCGAAUUAGGAGGCCUUGUUUCCAGUUUGGGUCCCGAUUUUGACCUUGUCACAUCCUAGGGCUGGUUACAUAAGUCUUUCCGAGCUUUAGUUUCCCCAGUGGAGAGCAUAAUUGUUAAUUACUUUAUGGAAUUAUUUUGUCAAUUACUAACAUGUUAAUAAUCUCUGAGUCUUUGAAAUGGACAUGACACAGAACCGCAGUGGUGGCCAAUUAGUGUCACUGUUAUCGGAAAUACGUGGCGUUUUAGCACUUCAAAAAGGUUCAUGUACAGGAAAAGCUGUGGGCGAUGGGGAGUGACUAGGGUGAAACUGGAAAAAGAUGAGAGGUGAGGAGAAGGACAUUUAAUUUCAGGACCUUUUGAUGUAUUCGGGCAUGCUGCUGGAAAGGGGUGGACACUUGGCAGGAUGCAGGACAGAGACAGUGCAUGGUAAGGUGAUCACCUCCUAGACCCGGGAUCUGGCCCUCACUCCAUGUAUCACCCCUCCACCUUAUUCAUACUCAGUUGUUGUCCUAUUUGGGUAAUUUGUAUUUUGGAGCAGUGUAUUCAAAAGGCUGGCAGGGUUGACCUCUAACAGACGGGCUAUGGAUACUUGUGGGUAUAUUGAGAUAUGUGAUGUUUCUUUUGCUUAUUACACACAAAUGUAUCCAACAAAACUGUGAAAUAUCAAAUAAUGUGGCAGCACUUUUGAUGAAGAACAAGGUAGAUCAUGAUGGAUCUUCCCUAAAGACACAGGAUGAUCAGUAUGACGUUGCCUGAAGUAGUGAACUAAAUAGAGGCCCUUUAUCAAUUAGGGUCAAGAAGUCUGUUGCUCUGGUCGGGCCCUUUAAAUACUUUCUUUAUUCAUUCAACAGAUAUUUUUUGACAACAUACUGCAUUGGGUGCUGCAGGGCAUAAAAGAAUGAGUAAGACACAGUGCCUAUUGCCAAUAAGCUUAUUUAAUCUAACAGGGAAAUAACUCUGAAGUCAGGCAGUUUGUGAUAUGUGUCACGAGCAGUCAUGAGGGUGCAACAAAGGUGGCAGUGAGGAGAAUCCUUCCGGCUCGGAGAUCGGGAAUGCUUUGUGGAGGACGUGAUGACUGGGGGUCGGAGGUGGGAAGGAGGGCAGUGGUGCUUUCAAGUAGAGGAAAUGAAGAAGUCAAGUGGUGGCUGGGUGAGGCCUCCCAGAGGGCGUGCGCCUGCCAGGAGCACCUCACGGGCAUAGAGGACACUAGAGGAGGACGGUAUCAUGGGCCUGAAACCCACUGGGUGUGUUACAGAAGGGGGCCUCGGUUAGACAGGAACAAGGGAGCCCUGGGAGAAAAACCUGGUGAAGCAGAUUUGGGUCAGAGUUUAUAUUUGAAAGUCAAGCUGAGAAGCUUGCAGACAGUGGAGGGGUGAUCUCUGAGCUCAGCUGUGACAUUUGCAAGGGGCAUGUUAGGGACACGAAUCUGGCAGUGACGUAUAGGAGGAGCUGAAGGGUGAAGGAAAGCAGCAACGAGGAGGCUAUCAAAACAGUGCAAGUUAGAGGAGAGGGGAGAGAAUCGAUGAGAUAUAAAAUAAUCAGAGAGAUGGGCAAGGAUGAGAUCCGAAGGGAAAAAGGCUAACACGACUUGGGGACCAUGAACCGUGACAAGGAACCCAAGCAUCGGGGAUCAUUGAAGGGAAGGAAGAGGCAAAGGUUUCUCUAAAGGGUUGAAUGUGCACGAAGCUGGAAGGAAAGUUCGGAGACGCAGUGUCAGUCUGGUGAACGAAUAUCAGCUCAAACCAGCAGAGUCAUGGAGACCAGCCUGCCGUCAGACAGGCACCUUGACCUCUUGAGGUGUCUGAUUAAUGCACACGUGGUGUUUCUCAACGCCUCAUCUGCUCAGUGCCAUCUAAUCUCCUAGAACGUGAUCAGAUGUCGGGCUCCUGCUGUUUGAAUUUCUCUCCACUGGUUGUCUGUGUCAGCAUGGUAGCGGACGUUUGUG
Molecule: long non-coding RNA, 16799 nt
Filed under: Lynx pardinus (Iberian lynx)
Lineage: Eukaryota; Metazoa; Chordata; Mammalia; Carnivora; Felidae
Source: RNAcentral